GUUUGGGAAGCUACUGUCCCAAUGACUGAUUUACAAAAAGCACUCAGUAAACAUACUGUUGUUAUUAGAAAUAAUGAGUCAGGGAAGCAAAAGGAAUGAGAAUUGCUGUAGCAGACGCUUUUGAUGCCCUUGGUCCACCUCUGAGAUCAGCUGCAGCUGUGAUGUGCAGUUCCUUUGCACAGCACUCCCCCAUCUCUCCACUUUGAUGCCUUACGGAGCCCUCACAGCCCACACAGGACAGCCUGAAAGUGAGGGGGAAAGCGAAGGCUCCAGAGGAGCAAGUUUCAGCCAGUGGGGAAUGGGGGUCUAUGGUUAAAUGCCCCAGCCUCCCACCCUCCACAGGGGCAAUUCUGAGCCCUCCACGGAUUGAGCCCCGGGUGCCCGCACCAGUCACCACAUCAAUAAGACACUUUCCACUGGCUCUUCCUCCUUCCCCAUCUCACUCUCCCUGCUCCUCAUUCCUGCCUCACAGGGUCACUUCCCGAAUAUACCUCCCGCACCAGAACCCUGACUCGGGCACUGCUCUCAGAGGAACUCAAAAUAAGACAACUGCAAAGCCAGUGGAGAUGGAUUUGGAUGCUGGGAGAACUGUGAAGCAAGGUUCUAGAGAGGUGCAGGGACCACACACCAGAGCUCAGAGAACCCCUGGGCCGUCCCGACGAACGAGGCCUGAGAGAGGAAAGAAGAGAGGGGACCUCAGGAAGAAGGCAAUCCUUCAAGGAAAACUUGACACGGAAAAGAGAACAAGGACAAGAAGAGGAAUCUACUAAGAUGGAAGAAUGAUAAGAUCAACAAGGAAAAGAAAGAAAGAGAGAAGCAGGAAGGAAGGAAGGAAAGAAGAAGGAAAAGGAAGAAAGAAAGAUAGAAGAAAGAAGGAAGGAAGGAAAGAAGGAGAAAAAAUAAAGGAAGAGAGAGAGAGAAUGGGGAGUGAAAAGAGAAGAAAUGUAGAGAGAGUUAAACAUCACCUGUCUUAGUGUGUUCGGGCUGCCGUAACAGAAUACCAUGGUCUGGGUGGCUUCUAAAUAACAGAAAUGUACUUCUCACCCUUCUGGGGCCUGGAAGUCCAAGAUCAAGUUGCCAGCAGAUUCCAUGUCUGAUGAGGACCCACUUCCUGGUGCACUGACCACAUCUUUCUCUGCGUCCUCAGAUGGUGGACCAAGCAAGGGAGCUCUAUGGGGUCUCUUUUACAGGGGCACUAAUCCCACUCAGGAGGGCUCCAUCCUCACGAUCUAAUCAUCUCUCAAAGGCCCCAUCUCCAAAUACCAUCACGCUGGAUGUUAGGAUCGAACAUAAGAAUUCAGAAGAACAUAAACAUUCGAUCUAUGGCAUCAUCUUAUGAUAACUUAUUGGAGGAAAGAUGAGGCCAAAUCAAAGGAGUCGCAAUUAUUGAAUAUUUUCUGCAAAAAAAUGUCUUUUCCAAUAAUGGGACAUCAUUUGAGACAAUGAAGGAAAUUUGAAUAUGGAUUCCGUUCUAGAAUAUGGGUCUGCAGAGGAUGGUGAAUAAGAGCAUGAUCUUUCAAAUCAGUCUGCACGGCUCCAAAUCUCAGCGCUGCUUUCUAACUGUGUGACCUUGAGCAAGUAACAAAACCUCUCUGUGCUUUCAUUUUCUC
Molecule: long non-coding RNA, 1610 nt
Filed under: Equus caballus (horse)
Lineage: Eukaryota; Metazoa; Chordata; Mammalia; Perissodactyla; Equidae
Description: lncRNA (ENSECAG00000055324.1)
Source: RNAcentral